Molecule: ribosomal RNA, 789 nt
Filed under: Paracoccidioides brasiliensis
Lineage: Eukaryota; Fungi; Ascomycota; Eurotiomycetes; Onygenales; Ajellomycetaceae
Description: eukaryotic LSU rRNA
Rfam family: Eukaryotic large subunit ribosomal RNA
Source: RNAcentral
AAUAAGCGGAGGAAAAGAAACCAACAGGGAUUGCCUCAGUAACGGCGAGUGAAGCGGCAAGAGCUCAAAUUUGAAAUCUGGCUCCUUCGGGGCCCGAGUUGUAAUUUGUAGAGGAUGCUUCGGGCGUGGCCGCGGUCUAAGUCCCCUGGAACGGGGCGUCGCAGAGGGUGAGAAUCCCGUCUUCGGCCGGCCGGCCCCGCCCGUGUGAAGCUCCUUCGACGAGUCGAGUUGUUUGGGAAUGCAGCUCUAAAUGGGUGGUAAAUUUCAUCUAAAGCUAAAUACUGGUCGGAGACCGAUAGCGCACAAGUAGAGUGAUCGAAAGAUGAAAAGCACUUUGAAAAGAGAGUUAAACAGCAUGUGAAAUUGUUGAAAGGGAAGCGCUUGCGACCAGAGUCGGCCGCGGGGGCUCAGCGGGCACUCGUUGCCCGUGCACUCCCCCGUGGUCGGGCCAACGUCGGUUUCGACGGCCGGUCAAAGGCCCCCGGAAUGUGUCGCCUCUCGGGGCGUCUUAUAGCCGGGGGUGCAAUGCGGCCAGUCGGGACCGAGGAACGCGCUCCGGCACGGACGCUGGCUUAAUGGUCGUAAGCGACCCGUCUUGAAACACGGACCAAGGAGUCUAACAUCCACGCGAGUGUUCGGGUGUCAAACCCGUCCGCGCAGUGAAAGCGAACGGAGGUGGGAACCCUCAAGGGUGCACCAUCGACCGAUCCUGAAGUCUUCGGAUGGAUUUGAGUAAGAGCGUGGCUGUUGGGACCCGAAAGAUGGUGAACUAUGCCUGAAUAGGGUGAA